CAGAGUUCAGGCCCCUCGGGGCAGAUCUCCCACCCUUGUGUAUUUAUACCUCUGUUGCUUUGGCAGGCCGCUGGGUUUCGACCUGGCCACCGGCUCUGGGGCUGGUGUGCGCCUGCCAGAGGACCCCCAAACUCUGGUUAUCAGUGUCGUCUGAGUAUUAUACAAUUGUUA
Molecule: unclassified non-coding RNA, 171 nt
Filed under: uncultured Scytalidium
Lineage: Eukaryota; Fungi; Ascomycota
Description: sequence contains ITS1
Source: RNAcentral